This 27-nucleotide small RNA is filed under the name Bombyx mori (domestic silkworm). RNAcentral describes it as "ovarian small RNA-1656". Lineage: Eukaryota; Metazoa; Arthropoda; Insecta; Lepidoptera; Bombycidae. The record is from RNAcentral.
UUGUGGGUUCGAUUUCGACAACGCGUU